GCGAUGCAAAGCGCGGUGACGUGAGAGUGGAAAUGGGGUGUUUUCGAACUGUCUUUGGCCCCCGCCCCCAGGCUGAUCUCGAUCUGGCCUGCUGCGGGGCAGGGGAGAAGGCGCCAGCUGCGGCAGGGCGCGCCUCAGGGUGACGCCGUGGCCGCGAGGUGAAGUGAGACCAAGAUAGCCUGGGCGGGAGCGUCAGACUACGUGCCUUGGGGUGCGCAGGCCCGCGCUCCGCAGUGCGUGUCCGCCGGCGGGAUGGCGCGUUUCAGCUCCGAGGCCCCGUGAUGCGAGCUCGCAGUGCGAUCCUUCUCCUGCUUGCCCUUAUAGGGGCUCCGCACACCCUGAUUGAACUGACUCCGCUGAUUCCCGCUGAUCAGUCUUUCUCGGAAAGCCCCUCAGAUUGCUCGUUUGUCUCGGCUCCCUGGACCUGGUCGAGGCUUCAAUCCCGUCCGCCAGGCUUGUUGCAGCUGGCCAAAGUGCUCCUUCUUAUAAUUCUCGUUACUGCUCUGCCACCCCAACCAGACUUUCUUGCAAAACUUGGUAUUUCAAUUAGUCUGCAGAUAUUUCUUGAAUACCAAAUAUGUGGCAGUAGCUUUCUUAGUGUGAGAAAAGCAAGAUUUGACUCCCAAGACUCAUCAUCUACGUGGAAAGAUAAAACAAAGACACAAAUAGCUAUAGUAUAAGACGCCUGCUACCCUCCCUCCUGCAUACUGACUUCAUCUUGUAACAGGCUUUGUGAUAAAAACCUGGGAGAAUAUUGGUUCUGGAAUUCCUUGUGGACAAGUCUGGGGAGACCAUUGGUCCUGGCUCCACUCCUGGAAGGGUCUUUCAGAUUUUCAGAAGAAAACUCCUGGCAGACAAAUGAAUCUUUCCUCUCUGCAGUCUCGGGACUGGGCCUUUUCCAAGAGGACACAGAAGAGGAGAGAAUGGCAGCUGUGCCCCUAGCAGCCAGAUGGCAGUUGAAGAGAGGCAAAGAGCCAUGGAAACUUGAUCAUCAGGAAGCUGAGGAGAGAGAAGUCCCAGGAAGCACUUCUCUAGGAAUGCGUGAGCUGGGCAGAUGGGGCUUUGCUGGACAGUUCACUUAGAGACCACUCCUUAGGAUCGCAUAGACCUAUGAGAUGGCCACUGCCACACUGGCCUUUGCCUGGAAAACUCGUACCAUGUAUAGCCACAUGGCCUUCUUGUCACCUUUUUCAAGUUUUUGCUCAAAUGUGCCACCUUCUCAGUCAGGCCUGGCCUGAUGACCCUAUGUAAAAUUGAACCCUCUCCAUCCCUUUGUCCCUCCCAGCCCCUGCACCACCCGCUCUCUUCCCGACUCUGUCUUCCUAACAUACUAUAGUUUUACUUCUUCAUUUUGUUGGUUGUCUGUCCACACCUACCCUCUGUUAAAGUAUAAACUCCAUCAGAGACUUUUUCUGUUGUUUGCUACUGUAUCCCCAGUACUUCAAACAGUACCUGGUACAGAGCACACACUCAGGUAUUUGUCAGAUGAAUGAAUAAGUGGAGUGUGCAUAGCAAGGCCCGCCCCCGUUGGGUUUUUUGCAGGGAGGGUUGAGAUCUAUCAUUAUUUCAACUCUGAUAUCACUUACUUAUCUUUUCUGCAUAUCCUUUACCGUAUCUCCUCCUCUUCCUUUAAAUUACCAUUCAGUGGCCAUUGACAGUUCACUUUCUCAGGUGCUAGCCUGUCUCCCCACUUUUUCUCUGCUGUUUAUACUCAUCGAGUAACAAACUGCCCAGUCAUUUCCCCGCUUCAUUGUGUAUCUCCUAUUUUUAUGCACGUAUCUCUCUCUGAAAUGCUCUUCUUUUGGCUGUGUACUUGGUUAACAACUUUCAGAUCUCAGCUUAAAUGUCACUUCUAGAUGACCGUUCUUAAGGGUCCCUCUAAAGAAGUCCCCACUCCAACUCUCAUUCAUCAUUUCCUUUGCUGUACUUAUCACCAUCUGUUAUAUUUUGUUUAUUUAUUCUUUGUCUUCUGUCUAGUAGAAUAUAAGCAUAACAAGGGUGGGGACCAUGUCUGUCUUGUUCAUUAGGGUCCCAAUGACUUUUACCAUGCCUCCUUACCACUAGGCAGGCCCCUAGUAAAUAUCUCAUGAAUGAAUAACUGAAACUUGUUCAGUGGGCUAGAUGCCCACCUUCCACUUCUGGUCUCUAUUCCUCUUUUUUCCUCUGCCAUUUUUCAGCCUCUCCGUAAUGUUUUUUCUCUGAGGAGCUACCAAUAAACCCAGCAGUAUUUUGCAUUUGUUCUUUUCUUAAUAUAUAUACAAUGUUUUCCUUUUCACUAGCACUCAAACCCAGUUAUAUCUGUGUUUUCUGUUUGUUUUAUACCAGAAGGCUAGACUUAAGAGCCAGGACUCAACUGAAAAGCAGGAUGUUUCUAAAAAAGUAAAGUCAUUACUGAAAAUACAAGACAUGAAUGAAAAACCUCAGAAAAGAUGGUCCUCUGGGUCCUGUACUUGGCCCAGAAAACCCUGAGGGCACAAAGAAAGAAAAUGCUUCAGGGGAGACUUUGAAGAAAUCGUCCCCCAAGGAGAAGGACUCAGGCAAGGAUACACUCUUGCCAAACAAACUGACAAUAAGGAGAUACAGUUGGAAGGCAGUGUAUGUGGGAAGACCUUAUAUAACCAUUUACCCCUCACUUGCCAUCAGAGGACCCACACUGAAGAGAAGCCCUACGACUAUAAAGAAUGCGGGAAAGCCUUCAGCUAUAGGAGUAGUCUUAAGAAACAUUUGAUGUCUCACACUGGCAAGAGCACCUCUGAAGGCAGCGAAUGUCAGGAAACUUUCCAUGACCAAUUAACCCUUAUUGAACAUCAGCGAAGUCAUACCAGAGGGAAGCCUUUUGAAUGUAAUGAAUGUGACAAGGCUUUCUUUGUCCACUUGUGCUUUACUCCACAUCAGAGAAUUCAUACUGGAGAAAGACCUUGUGAGUGUACAGAAUGUGGGAAAUCCUUUAGCCAGAAAAGCAAUCUCAGUCACCACAUGCUCACUCACCCUGGAGAGUGGCCCUGUGGGUGCAAGGCAUGUGACAAAGCUCUGCUUGACCACUCCUCCCUCGUUCACCACAGGAAAGCGCACACUAGAAAGACCCCUUUUGAAUGUAAUGAGUGUGGGAAAGUUUUCUUUGACCCCUCAUCCCUUAAUAAACAUCAGAAAAUUCAUAGUGGAGACAAGCCCUAUAAAGGCACUGAAUGUGGGAAAGCCUUCCUCCAGAAAAGACAACUUAUUCAACAUGAAAGAGUGCACACUGGAGAGAAAUCCUGCAAGUGCAGCAUGUGUGGGAAAGUGCUCAGUUGAAAGUCAUCUAUCAUCUGACAUCAGCGACAUUAUGCAGACAGGCUUCAGAGUAUCACGAAGGUGCUUCAGCUGGACAAGGGACCCCCGUAGUGACUUUGAAACCAGAGGCCAACUUGCUUUAACUAUACUCAGUUAGUUGUCUGUUUGCAAAAGUAGUUAGAUAAUGCAUUGCUAAAACCUGCCCUAUAAAUAACGUCUCUGAUGCCUGGGUCACCGUAAUAACAGGUGCUUGAGUUUUUCAGGAUCUGAAAGUCGACUCCUUGUCCAGUUCAGGCUGGUUAAGACAACCAACUCAUCAACUGGACCUGCACAGAUGACCAAUAGGUGACACUGUGACAUCAAGGAGCUGAAAACUCCACCCUCAGAUCAUGGUAAUGCUGCCAUUUUGUGAAUAUGUGUCCUAUGAAGAGCCAUGAAGCUUGACUAGACUUGCACGGAUCAUCAAUUACCUCACUUCUCCUUCCCUCCAAUCAUCUUUUCCCACUUCAGACCAUCCUGCCUGCCCCCUUAUCCCAUAAAUAUCCCUCGUCCCCAUUUUGGGGGGGAGGUAGAUUUGCCCACCUCCUUGCUUGGCUGCCUUGUGAUUAAAUCCUUUCUCUUUGCAGACUCGUCAUCUCAAUGAUUGGCAUAAUUGUGUGCCAGGAAAAACAAACCUGGUUCAGUAACUUCAAGAUAAUGAAGAUUUAUCUUUGAGCGCCUUCUAACUACUGUUAAUUCUCAUGCCUCCAUUUGGUACCAGAGUCUCAAUAAAUAGUCUCAGUAGAUCACACCAUGGACUUCCCCUGGGGUACUUGAAAUUUAAGAUAAUAGUCUGAGGAGCCCCAAAUUGGUCAGAUCAGAAGCUUUCCAAUCAACAUGCUUUGUAAGUGUUUGAAGGGGAUUCUAAGAUAAGCAUCAUAUAUUUUAUUUAUUUAUUUAUUCAUUCAUUCAUUCAUUUAUUGCUAGACUGCUCCAUGAGAACAGGAACUUUUUCAUAUCCAUGCACUGCUGUGUCCCCAGUGUGGUGCCUGGCACUUAUUACAUAGUUUCUGAAUGAAUGAAUACCUGUCUAGUCAUGAGAACUUGAGUCCCAAAUCAAGUGCACUUUCUAGAACUAGAAACUUCGGUACCAAAAUAAACAUCAAGCUAAUGUCUACUUAGAACUGCAAAUACCUUCACUGUAAUUGUGCUGUUAGUUUUUAAUCCACCCUUCUUAGAGCUUCCCGGAGCUCUGAUUUGGGCUAUAUGCUCUUGUUCUUCACUUCAGCUCCUCAGGAGCCUCCUCCUCCCUGAACUUUGGCUCUUCUGCCCUCUACCCUGACCUCUGGGCUCUGGUAGCCUAACCCAUCACCCAACUAUUCUUGUUUCUAGGAUUGUGGUGGUUUUUAUCUUUGUUUUAAUUUCAUUGAUAACUGAGAUUCCUUAGCCUGGCUCUGCAAUUCCAUAGAUACCCUGGACACAGGCCUUCUCUUUCUCAUGAUGUAUUCACUCAUAGCUGCUGAAGGGAACAAUAUUCAUACCAACAGUUCAAAGUCCAGUUGCAACAACCAGCUGUAGCCGUGGCAGCUGGGUGAGGUCCCAGGCUGAAGAAGUCAGCCACAAUGACCCAGGGGAUGGGGCUGCGUCUAAGCUCAAAGAAUACCACAGAGCCAAAGUUAACUCCAGACAGAGCUCAUCCAUGAGUGGUCAUCCUUCAGUAGUAAAGCAGUGGAUGCGAGGAUGUAACUGAAAGCUAGGCCAUCACAUCCUAUUAGACAUGAUGUCCUUCUUGCCCACAACAUCGGUAUCUCUGAAACCAAAAUACAGGCUGUCCACACCUACACAGUGAAGACUUAGAUUAGCUUCCUUAUACCUACAUCUUUGCGAAUUCCUGCUUAGUAAUAAAGCAAUAAUUCCAGAGAGCAGCUGAGAGAGCAUGAGCACCAAGAUGAGGAGGAGGACAGAUUCCUAGUGUCUGGGUGUUUAAAAAAAAAAAAAAAGCACAAUCAUUUUAAUUUCUUGUGCCAUAUCAGCACUCCAGUGAAUGAAGGAUAGAGAAUUAGCAUGGCACGCUCUUCUUUCAUCUUGUUAAUGAGCAGGAAUCUGGGACUUAAGGCAGGACAAAUGGCCAAUAGCAGAGGCCACAAAAAAUCAAUCCCCAUGGUAAUCAAAGAUCUGACCCCUGAUGGUGCCUGACCUGUUGAACAUGCCAUAGGUAUCACAUAAGGAUGUGGAUUCCUUUCCAUCAUACAUGUGUAUCAAACCUGUGCAAAGUGUGCAGAAGAGGCAAAUGACCAAAUAUUCUAGGAUCAGCAGUUCAACUUAUUACGCCAUUUUAUAGAACUUCAUGAUAAAGUAACUUGCAAUAGCUUAAAGUGUUGAUAAUGAGCAUUGAGUAAUGCUUACUAUGGCAGAGGCUGUUACUUACCUAACUUGUGGUCAUUCUUUUUUUUCUUCCUUACCAAUAGGAUAUCUGAGUCUAUUCUGAGCAGCAGAGUGCCCAACUCUAUUUCUCAGCCUCUCUUGCAGUGAGGUAUGGCUAAUCAGGCCAAUGAAAUACUGAUAUAUCAAAUAUCAGGCCAACAGUAUAUUGAUAUAUCAAAUAUCAGGCCACUGAUAUAUUGAUAUAAUUGGAAUUUGUGGGGAAGGACUUCUGGGAAGGCAACUUAAUAAAAGAGAGAGGGACGCUAGGAAAUUCCCUUUUCCCUUCCCUUCUUUCCACCUGGAAUGUGGAUUUAAUGGCUGGAAUUCCAUAAAGCAUCUUGUGACUUUGAGGGUAUAAGCAAGGCCUAAAGGAUGGGAGAGGAGAAGAACAGAAGACACUUGGUUCCCUGAUGAUCUUCUGGAGCCUCCACACCAGCACUGGCUGCCUAUUUCUAUUCUUGAAUGAGAGAGAAAGACUCUUAUGUUUUCAACCACUGUAUUCAUAUCCAAAGGGAAUUCCUGUUAAACUUUCCAAAGAAAUACAUAGAGUCAAUAUAAAAGGAACUAACUCUUCUACCCAGAGAAAAUACUGCCUCAAACCAGGACCAGAGGAGAGGCAAGCAGUACCUCAUUGUGAGGCUGGCAUGACUUCAGAAGUGUAAUAGACCACAUCUGUUAUGAUCAGCUCUGGAGUAUUCAUGCCUCCAUGGUUGUACCUAAUUGUGGCAGAGUAAUGGAGACAGAGAAAGAGGUCUUCCCUGUCCCUUUAGCCCAGCAUAAUUCUUUGCAAAUCCUUUAUGAGGAUCUGGUAGCCUGACCCUAGAGUCCUUUGAAUAUCCUUUUGCAUGGCUGGUUUUCUUCAGGCCAACUUCUCUGCCACUCUUACUAAAAACAUAUCCAUUUACCUAUAGACAACUAUCUUCCUAAAGUACACAGAGAAUGAAUUAUAAAUUAUAUAUAUAUACUUACACUAUUUGAAGUUGGUUAACUUGUUGCCAAGAGUCAGUUCAAUAUGUAGCUCUUGACUGUUAUUAAGCCUGUUUGUGGAGAGGCCUAGUAAUCUUCCAGGUCUACCAUUUGUCUCUUCCUGUUGUUUGUCGGUGUGUAAAAGGGAGGAACAUGAUGUGUCUCAGUGCAAAAUGAUGAUAUGAUGUUGGCUGAAAGGUGUUUCUCAUAUAAAGGUCUAUUGGUUUCUCUCACAAUGUGAAUGCCCAUUCCCGUUAUUUCUUUCCCGUUAAAUCCUCUACAGUGACCCUGCUAGGAAAUGGGAAUUUUCUGUAACUCCCUUGAAAAUCCUCAUCAAUGUCUAUUUGAUGGAAAUAUAAGAUGGAGUAAGACCCACUUCAAAAAAAGUUACUUGAACAAGUAACUUCAUGAGUUUCAAAGAAUCCAUACUAUUAUUAUUUAGCUAUUAUGGGUGAACAAACCAAACCUACACCAGAAAACCACGGACAGGCUGAAACCAACCCUGAAUGUCCUCUAUCUGGGCAGAGUUGAUGUUUUUCACUUGGCUUUAUAUAGACCUGCUAGAUAGACCUCCAUGUCUCAGAUACCUUCAGAUUCUUCUGUCUUGGGCAUUGCCCCUUCCAAAUUCCAGAUAAAAUAUCCAAUCAGCAUUUAUCAAGUUCCUGAAGUAGAUCCUGGUUGUUGCUUGUCAUGUCACCAACCAUCUUAGCUUCAUUCUGUGGCUCUUUUCUGGACUGCUAGUUGCAACAUCUCGUCUACCAUCAGCAUGACUUCAUGCUGAUGAAUGCUCAGAAAUUUUACAUGUAAAUUCCCACUAUGCUGUAUUAGAGAAUAUGUAUUCAGGGUUCCGUAAGCAUUUGGACACUGACACUAAGGUAUUUGCUUCCUUGGAACUCCUGGUGCUAGGACUAGAGACCCUCUAUCAUUCUCUCCCAGUGGCUUGUCUCCAGGCUCCUCCUUACUUGAUCCAAGUCUCAGCCUGUGCCUCUGCCUUCAUCAGCUGGUCUUAAUAACUGCUUCUGCUUUACCAUGGAUACACUGCUCAUGACUCACAGUUCUCCCCUGAAACAAUGAGGCCUUUAGAGAGACCAGGGCAUGAGAGAAGGCUACAUUCCCAGUCUUAGCCCAAAUUUCCUAGGAAGCAGAGCCCAAGGCAAAGAUUAAGAGCUGGGGCUUUAUGAAGUACAGACCUAGGGCAGCAAGAGUGAGGACAAGGAAGUGAAGCAGGGAGGGAUGGGAAGAAAAGCAAGGUGGCCUAUUACCUAUUGGCCAUUGCUUCACAAUGAGCUGAGAAGAGAGACAAUAGGUUAUUCAGCAUGUGCAUCUACUUGGCUCUGCAAGAAGUCUCCAGAUGGUCUAUGCGGAGAAACCGUGCCUUGGAGCAGUUGAUUGGCAAAGAGAAGCAGAAGGAAUUUAUCUGAUCUGAUCCUUCUUGUUCCCCUCACAGUUUCAGGUUGCAUCAUCCAGCCACCGCUAGGAAAGCCAGAUCCCACAGCCCAUUGUAUGGCACUUCAGCAAGCCUGGAAGUGGUGCAAUGAGUCAGAAGCCUGAGUGUGCAGUGUUGGGCCUGUGGCAAGCAAGGGGGAGAGACUGGCGCUCCCAGGCAGAACGCUGUCCAGCUGCAGGUGGUGCAAUCAAAUGGCUGAGUGCGUUGAGCAGCUCUGGCAGCUGAAGUGGAGAAAAUAGCUGAGGGUCUGUGCAGAGGCAGAGGUAAUGUGACGAAGCACAAGACUCGCAUAUGCCUGAUUGAGUCCUUUUGCUGUUCACUCCAAGCCUGAUUUCCUGCCUCAGGUCCGCCUUCCUCUCUCACUACCUGAGACCUUUAGCACGUCUCUCUUCUGUUGAAUCUCACAUCCCUCAAAUCUCCACCUCUUUGCCACCAAAUCCUUACUUUACGUUUUCAGUUUUGCUCUCUUCCAUGGUGAUUAACAGUUUCCUUGUUUACCUCUCUUAACAUCAACUUUCACAUCAAAGUAAAUGGCCUUUCAUGGCACUGUAGCUUCUUGAGGAAGGCAAGGAUGCUUUCCUGGCAGGAUGUUGUGGCAAAAACAAAGCCAGACUAGAAGGUAACAGGCCCUCACUAAAUUUAGGAAAACUCAAGGGCCAUCCACCCUUAAGAGACAAUGGGACUCACUGGGGACCAAUGGGUUUUCAUCCCAAGAUGUUUCAACUCCACUCUACUGCUAUGUGACACCCAUGUACAUGCUUGGGCCAGCUGCUAGUGUCUAGGGCCACAUUAUUCUAAAGUAGAGCCUAUGUGAAUAAAGGCAGGCUUGUUAAGGAAGUCCGAGUUUUCUAAAAGCAAACAAAUGAAAGCCAAGAAAAGCAAUGAGGGCCAUCUUAGUUUCAGGCACUUUUACGUUCUCUACAAGUAUAGAGAAGAGUACACUCUCACUCAGUUAUUGAUCAUCUAAGUACCAAUAAAUACUCUAGGGAAUCUCCUUGCCCCGUGGAGCUUAAUCUCUGGUGUAUGUGUGUUGGGAGACACCCAAUAAACAAAAUUAAUAAUUAUUUAUUAGAAAAAGCUAAGUACUAAGGGGAAAAAAUAAAACAAAGUGUGGUCAGAGAAUGCUUUCCAGAGGAGGUGAACAAAGGCAUGGAGGAGGUGAGGGAGCAAACCAUGUGGAUAUGUGGGGAGGGAUAUUCAGGCACAGGAACAAGCACAAAGGCUCUUUGGUGGAAGCAUGCUUCACUUAA
Molecule: non-coding RNA, 9336 nt
Organism: Equus caballus (horse)
Lineage: Eukaryota; Metazoa; Chordata; Mammalia; Perissodactyla; Equidae
Source: RefSeq, a predicted model, not a curated record